GCACCGAAGCUGCGGCAGCGAACGUAUCACCCAAGACAACUUUACGGAGUUGACGAUUGACGGAGCGAAGCGACGUCAAAGCGUUCAUUAAAGUCGAGUUGGCUUAGGGAUACGUUCGUUGGGUAGGGGAGCGUUCUGUAAGCCUGUGAAGGUGUGUCGUGAGGCAUGCUGGAGGUAUCAGAAGUGCGAAUGCUGACAUAAGUAACGAUAAAGCGGGUGAAAAGCCCGCUCGCCGGAAGACCAAGGGUUCCUGUCCAACGUUAAUCGGGGCAGGGUGAGUCGACCCCUAAGGCGAGGCCGAAAGGCGUAGUCGAUGGGAAACGGGUUAAUAUUCCCGUACUUGGUGUUACUGCGAAGGGGGGACGGAGAAGGCUAUGUUGGCCGGGCGACGGUUGUCCCGGUUUAAGCGUGUAGGUGUGUGUUCCAGGUAAAUCCGGUUCACUUUAACACUGAGGCGUGACGACGAGGCACUACGGUGCUGA
This 482-nucleotide ribosomal RNA is filed under the name Salmonella enterica subsp. enterica serovar Typhimurium. RNAcentral's name for it is "bacterial LSU rRNA". It matches the Rfam family "Bacterial large subunit ribosomal RNA", at positions 1191 to 1588 of the family's 2925-position model. The record is from RNAcentral. Lineage: Bacteria; Pseudomonadati; Pseudomonadota; Gammaproteobacteria; Enterobacterales; Enterobacteriaceae.